This 1615-nucleotide long non-coding RNA is filed under the name Mytilus galloprovincialis (Mediterranean mussel). Lineage: Eukaryota; Metazoa; Mollusca; Bivalvia; Mytilida; Mytilidae. The record is from RNAcentral.
GGUCGAACAACAUGGUGAAUAUGUAUGUAUGUCUUAUUGUUGUUAUUAGUUUUCAGUAUGAAUUUACCCUAGCAGUUCAGGAACAGAAACGCCUUCUUAUAACAGACCCGGAUUAUACUGAUAAUCAACAAAUCCUCAGAGACAUCCAGUCGCUAAAGGCAGCACUUGAUGUAUUCAAACAUGAAAUGACACAAACCAAUACUGCUCAUUCAACUUUGAUACAACAACAGGCCUCUGAAAUCGCAAAUUUAAAGAUCAAGUUACAGCAAAUAACAUCAGGUAUUUUGUAAUCUUAUAUUUAUCAUGUAAUUUGUCACAUUUUUUAAGAGUACUCAACUAGUCCAAUGCGUUUUAGGGAAAACAUUUAACGCUAUGUACUAACUACUUUAUUUUCUGCGGUUAAAUUUCUUUACUUUUAGUCUUCCUAAAAAAAAAGUAAUUAUUCAUUUUUUUUCUCCUAAGAAGUAUUGUGGUCUGUAUGUAAUACUUAACAUUACGGGAAAUAUUUCUACAGACUAGCAUCAUUUAAUUUGACCAAGUGAAUAAUAAUACAUAUUUCACAGCUGUUUUUACCUACUCGAAAAAAAGUGACGACAAUGCUGGGAGAUAUUUCAAAAUCCUAAAACCCUAUUAAUAUUGCUUAUGGAAUUCAGCAUAUUGUCUAUUUAUAAAUACAAAAUAAAGUGGAGGAAAAUUAACAACAACAUGUAAGACGAUCAUAUUCUCUUAAAUCGUACAAGAUAUGCGUACUUAUAUAUAUAUAUAUAUUAUAUAUAUAUAUAUAUAUAUAUAGGUUUUUCCAAGAAAUAGGAAUAUUUCUUUUAAAAUAUGUAACAUGUAAUUUUAUCAUUUAUAUAAAUUGUUAAACACUACUAAAUGAUCUACUCGUUUAUUGUUCAUUAAUUUGACUUUACAAACUAUAACUUUUUUUAUGAAUUACCUCUUUUAUCAAAAACAUGUCUUUGAAGUAUUGUAUGAAACGUUUCAAUAGGAUUUGAGGAAGUAAUGAAAUCCAGAGUAUAUUUGUUCGGUCAUCAACACGUUGAAUGAAACGAUAUAUUUCUGAAUUCUGUAGCAACAUGUUUUUCUCGGCCAUAUAUUUUGAUAUGAUCGAAUUGUUAAUUGUUAUGGAAAUUUAGUAACUGUAUCCUAAUCCCUAUUUUGACAUUUUACUAAUAAUUGAUUUGUAUGAGGUUUAUACAUUCUUAGCAGGAAAAACAUACCUUAUCGACGCAUCAGGUUCCAUUUCUUCUGAUUGGUGCAGUUCUCUCAGGAUUGAUUUUGUACAUUGUUUUUUAUGUUCCCAAAUAGAUAAAUGAAAUUUGAACAAUACUAUUUAUUACUGUACAAUAAACCAGGAAUAGAAGACACAGCAAAUACAAUAAAUAUAAUACAAAACGAUGCAAAACACGCAACAGUGCAAUUGAAUAUUGACCAAUACAAUAUAUGUAUUAUGCAUUACAAUACCAUGUAACUAGUCAAGAAAAAUCGUAUAUUUUUAUUACAGCUCCAAGUGGAUCAGUUUACAUACAGUGGGGGAGAAAAUCUUGUACCAGAAAUGGUACCGAACUCGUUUAUUCAGGUUUGAAAAUAACAUAAUGAAUAUAGCUACGUU